This 398-nucleotide ribosomal RNA is filed under the name uncultured bacterium. Its description in RNAcentral is "partial 16S ribosomal RNA". It matches the Rfam family "Bacterial small subunit ribosomal RNA", at positions 338 to 733 of the family's 1533-position model. The record is from RNAcentral.
CCUACGGGGGGCAGCAGUGAGGAAUAUUGGUCAAUGGGCGCGAGCCUGAACCAGCCAAGUAGCGUGAAGGAUGACUGCCCUACGGGUUGUAAACUUCUUUUAUAAAGGAAUAAAGUGAGGCACGUGUGCCUUUUUGUAUGUACUUUAUGAAUAAGGAUCGGCUAACUCCGUGCCAGCAGCCGCGGUAAUACGGAGGAUCCGAGCGUUAUCCGGAUUUAUUGGGUUUAAAGGGAGCGUAGAUGGGUUGUUAAGUCAGUGGUGAAAGUUUGGGGCUCAACCGUAAAAUUGCAUUUGAUACUGGCUGCCUUGAGAAGACUUGAGGUAGGCGGAAUGCGUAGUGUAGCGGUGAAAUGCUUAGAUAUCGCGAAGAACUCCGAUUGCGAAGGCAGCCUACUAAA